Molecule: long non-coding RNA, 698 nt
Filed under: Triticum aestivum (bread wheat)
Lineage: Eukaryota; Viridiplantae; Streptophyta; Magnoliopsida; Poales; Poaceae
Description: long non-coding RNA (TAES_LNC022225)
Source: RNAcentral
UUUAUAGCCUCAGCGGGGAGCACAUGACAUCGAUGCCAUCACUGAGCUCAAGAUGGUGCCUUGCAAUGGUGAUAUCUCUUUUUCUUGUACUGUACAUGUUGGGUUUGGACAAUGAUGGUUGUAAUCCAUGAUUUAAUUUUCAAAAUAAGAGAAGGAAGCUAUGGGUUUGGAUAAGAUGAUGGUGGCUUAAAUUGUUUGUUGUCUUCGUGGUAUCAUAUACUAAUACGAAGAAUAAUCAUUCCAUGCUUUGAUCUUCAAAAUAAAAUGAGGAACCAAUGGGUUGGACAAUAAUGAUGGGGUUUAUUUUUUUCUUGGUGUAGAUUGCUAAUAUGAACAAUAAUAAUUAGUGUGACCGGUUUACAGUUAUAUAUAUAGCUGAAUAGUUAAUAGUAUUCUCUAUACACUGAAAUUGAGCUCAUAAAAUUUUAUUUAUCAUGUGCUUUUUUUGCUACGGAUCAUUGCAGUUCUCUUCAAUACAUCAAUGUCACUUCCAAAGCGGAGUCCCUCCUAGAGGAUAGUCUCUAUUAUCAUAAGGGCGAGUGUCCAACUUGCUCUACAUAAUACAAUGAUGCCUUUAUUAGUAUCUUGUGCGGGUUAUCAGAGACAAGAACACAAUCUUGGAGUACAUGGACAUCAACGCUGAAGGUGUCGGCAGCAAUGACCUGAGGUCUGCGAUUUGACCAGCGUAGCAUUCUUGU